RNAcentral lists this ribosomal RNA (58 nucleotides) under uncultured Atheliaceae. RNAcentral describes it as "partial 28S ribsomal RNA". Lineage: Eukaryota; Fungi; Basidiomycota; Agaricomycetes; Atheliales; Atheliaceae. The record is from RNAcentral. RNAcentral also lists the same sequence under 1 other name.
GACCUCAAAUCAGGUAGGACUACCCGCUGAACUUAAGCAUAUCAAUAAGCCGGAGGAA